Molecule: long non-coding RNA, 1238 nt
Organism: Cyprinus carpio (common carp)
Lineage: Eukaryota; Metazoa; Chordata; Actinopteri; Cypriniformes; Cyprinidae
Source: Ensembl
UAUAGAAGGGGCUGUUAUAGGGGUUGUUAAAGAAUGUGUGUUAUUUAUUUUUUCUCUGUUCAUUGUAUUAAUUGUACAAAAUAAGCAUAAAUUGGCAGUCCUAACAGUCAUAUAAUAUGACAGGCAUAGUCACAUUCGGAUAGCAGGAUAGAGGCUCAGACACAAAGCACAGUGAAGACAGGAGAGAACAAUACAAGUGAAGCCAGAGCUCUGAAUACGUGUGAUGUAAAUGCCAUCUUUGAAGGACAGGUUUGGGGCAUUGUCUUUGGGGAAUGUGCAAAUCACAUGCCCAGAGUAAGGAAGUUCAGUCCAUGCAUAUCAAUGACUGCUGGAGAGGAAACCUCUUUUUAAUGCUUGCAUAAAGAAAAAAAGAGAGAGUACAAGUCAUGUCUCUGAGGAAAAAAAAAAAGAAUGUGUUAUGAAAAUCUUCAGGUAAGACUGUGUUUAAAAAUCUGUGGAGUGUGUGCUUGAACAGAUACAUCCUCAAUGGGGAACAUCAUAUGAGGAUGAUAGGUAUGGGUCUUUCCUCCUGUUUUGGGGGGGAUAGAAAUGUAUACAGUGGACCUAAGCCUUUGGUUUAAUGCCACAUCACGACACCGUCCACUGAGGAAAUUGCCCAAAAGUCAAUUUGAGCCAUCAGAGAUUGCAAAAUGUCUUCCAUCUGGAAUAAUUGAAUUUGGGGCUUUGGUGAUUAGGAUUGCCUUUUUAAACACCCUCACAGAGGUUUCCAACACCUUCAAGACGAUAAUCUGGCAGUUUUUCCGACAGCCAUCUUUCAGACAUUGCGCGGCUGAGACAUCCGAUCAGGAACAGAGGCCACAUCUGUCACGAGCACGCCUCAAGCCUGCACACAUCCAGAUGACUGUGGGGUCCCUGGCUGUCUGCACCACUAUUGAGCAGUGAGACACAAAGCUGGUGGAAACAAGAAAAUUUAUCAAUGCAACAGAAACCCCAGAGAGGAUUACGGGAUAAACAAGAAGAGGAUGAACAAUCGUGCUCUCUCGCCCCAAACAGCUCUCAGCAGAGUGGCCCAUGUGAUGAUGCAAGCGCCUAUCUCAGGUCCAUGUGCGCAGGGUGAGAGUGCUAGAGUGCUUUCUACUUGUGGUAAAAUUAGUCAUUUACAUGCAUGUGUGCAUAAACAGAAACAGCCCCAAAGCUAAGUAAAGUGCACCCAAGAAUAUUAUGAACAGUCUUUUAUUGUUUUUAUAAUAUUGCCAAGAUUGCUGGAGGAUCUUGCU